AGCUUCGGCCAUCCGGCGAGGGAUGGGCCCGCGGUCCAUUAGCUAGUUGGUGGGGUAACGGCCCACCAAGGCAACGAUGGAUAGCUGGUCUGAGAGGAUGAUCAGCCACACUGGGACUGAGACACGGCCCAGACUCCUACGGGAGGCAGCAGUCGGGAAUCUUGCGCAAUGGGCGAAAGCCUGACGCAGCAACACCGUGUGAGCGACGAAGGCCUUCGGGUUGUAAAGCUCUGUUGUUGGGGACGAAGGGCGAAGGGUUAAUAGCCC
This 267-nucleotide ribosomal RNA is filed under the name uncultured Rubrobacter sp. RNAcentral describes it as "partial 16S ribosomal RNA". It matches the Rfam family "Bacterial small subunit ribosomal RNA", at positions 202 to 468 of the family's 1533-position model. The record is from RNAcentral. Lineage: Bacteria; Bacillati; Actinomycetota; Rubrobacteria; Rubrobacterales; Rubrobacteraceae.